CUACAAAAGAACGUGUGGCAGCUGCCUACAGGACGGCAAAUAGGAAGCCACGAUGUCUAGUCCCUGCCCAGGAGCACGCAGCCACCCGGCAUGAAAGACAGUCAUUCAGGAAGGUCUCUGCUGCCUUCCAAACUGCCCGGGCUUUGGGGAGAUGCCCUCUCCUCCAUGAGCGUCUAACCCACGGGGCAACACAGGGCUUGCCUGUGAGCAGAGAUGGGAGGACAGACAGCGAGGGCCUCUGUUCCAAAACAAACAGCAUGCUGAGGCGACACCGACCAUGCCCUUCUUUAUCUUGGCAAUCUCAUGCCCACGCCUAAAUAUAGACGCUUGGGCAGCACAGGCAUCUGCCUGCUGCCACAGAAUCGGCACGGUCCAGCUUACAGCAGAAGGGCACAGUGUUAAGGCUCCAGAAGCUUUUCACUAUGUGUUGCUGGAAUCUCAAGUUCCUUUCUCGUUCAGAUUGAACAAACGUCCUCGGCUGCAGGAUGGGGUUUUUUUCUCCGGUCCCAAAGUACCCUGAGAAGAAAGAAAAUCAAAGCUCGUUUCGGGAACAACAUCGGACCCAAGCAGAAGAAAAACGGAAAGCAAGCUAAUGAGGUAGCAAUUCCAGUUCAAGGACUCCAGGGUGAAGAGCCCUGCGUUCUGCUCUGCCCAGAGCCACCCGCCCCAGGCUGCCCGUCUCGGACCCUCCCUCCAGUCUUUCCCUCUCAGGCUGGGGCCUGCUCUGCCCCCAGCCCCUCUCAGGAAGGCUUCCAGGUCCAUUCUCACCUCAUGGGAGACGUUCUCAUGAACUUUGGGGAAAGAGCCUGUGUUCCUAACCCCCACUCUCUCUCUGUCCCUCCGACUCAGCUCUCCGCCUUCCUCCUCUCUGACGCCUCCCAGCACUCUGCGCUUCUGGCUUGUUCACUGCAGAGGAAGCGCUCCUUCAGAUCAGUGUCUGCAGCAUCUCACACAGUCAGUGCUCAGCACUGUAAAUAAAUGCUCAAUAAAUCAUGCUCAAGACAUGCUUGUCGAAUGAGAGGAUGAAAGGACAAGCCCCCUCUUAGCAGUGAAUCACAGUGUAAAUUCUCUUGUAGAAUAAUUCCGAAUCUCAAGUACCCUGAGGGCAGGACCCUCCAUCCUGUGGUGCCCCCAGGCCCUCAGUGUCCAGCACGGGAGGCUUAGUGACAAAUGGUCUGUCUGUUGGCAUAAAAUGCCAUCGUUUCGGUUCUCUAAGUCUUAACAAGUGGUCAGUUUCUAAGUGAUGAUUCUGGGGAAGAUCAAAUAAUUAAAUUUGAUGAUUAACUUAAUUACACCUGAUACCAGCCAAGUGUUUAGAACUGCUUGGCACACAACAGGCUCUCCAUAAAUGUUAGCUGCUGCUGCUGCUGCUGCUGCUGUUAUUAAGCCAUUUUUAGCUAUUUAAGAAACUUCGAAAUGCUCUGCUGUCAAGGUGGAGCUUAGGGGGAGCCAACACACAGAUCUGUGGACCAUUUGGUUGUCCCUUUGGCUUAAGGACAUUUACAAGUGUGUGAGUGCUCUUGGUGCCAUCCAUCCAGCAAAGAACGGGUGCAAGGAAGUGGGGUGUGCCUGUGAAGAAGGUGCUUGGCCUCUCAGGCGGGUCUGCAUCCCACCCCAUUCUCACACAGUCUGGGAGGUAAAUGCUAAGCAUGAGGUGAGAGUGAGGUAUCCUCCUGUUUUUAGGUCCCCCCACCUCUCAGGCUAACAGGACAGGAGUCUAAAUCCCUGUGCUCACACUCUUCCUUGCCGCCCCCACCACCCUCCCCGACAUCUGCAUGUGCUGUGUACCUCGCACAGCACCACCCUCCCCUCGAGUGCCAGGCUGGGUCAGGACAACCAUGUUAGUCUCUCAGUUAUUUAACUGUUAGCUGAGAGCACUGGGGAGAUGACACCUGCCUGCCUCACUGCACAGUCCUGUGCUAAGGGGACCCUUGCUGGCAACGUGGGAGAGAAGGCAGUCCUCAUUUUAAAGAGUAAAACAAAGGGUUAGUAUUUGUUAUUAAGAAGAAUGGGAGAGACAAAGGUCAUGGCUAAAUGGGGGUCACUGACAGAGAUGGAGGUUGAGAGGGUAGUGGUGACUUCAGAGGAGGGGGCACAGUUCACGACAAGGUCCAAGUUGGGUGCCAGUUGGAAAGAAUUUGGAUGUUUCUUGCAUUUCUGCUUUCAACUAAAGCAAAUCAUUCCUUCAUAAUUCAGCACCCUAGUUUCUCCGAAAAACUGAUGAAAGGAGGUCUGGAAGUGACUUCUGGGCCAAAAUGCAGCUCAGAUCACUAUGGCUCUUUAAAGAGGUUUACCUUAAAGCGUUCACCACGUGGACUGGCACCACGUUCAAUAGAAGGAAGUGUGCAGAUGCACACCCUGUACUUUUUCGGCUGGGAACACGCCGCUGCUUGCAAGGCUUCGCUCUCCCUGUGAGCUGCUCUGACAAAUGCAUUAAUUGUACAAAGCAGACAGAGUUUGUUUAGUCAUGUCUGCUGAGGUGGGGAGGAUGUUGCCACACAUCUGAGCUGGCUCUUUCUGCACAGGGCAUCUAGGCCUCAGGCCUCUACGCCAACACCCUCUGGCCAGAGUGAGAGGCAUCGCCACAAAAGCCAAUGGUGCACCUGCUCCACCGCUUUCAAAUUAAAAAGAAGUCAGCAUGAGAGAGUGAGAGAGAGAGAGAGAGGGAGAGAGAGAGAUUGUUUAUGGGCUCUUUCUCUCUCAUCAGGAGAGGGCAGUGAGGCUCAGUCAUCGUGAGGGUAAGAACAGGAGAGCAGGUGCCUGAAGCUGACUGAAUGUCACAGAGCCAUCUCGGCCUCAGCACCCCAGGGUGGAAAUAUAAACUCCUCAGCCACCGAAUAUGACCCUCGGGCUCUUCAAUCCCAGCCUUCCUUCUACCUUCUUCACGUGCCCUCUUGUCCAACUAUCCUGGCUAGUUCCCACUGUCACCUGGAUGUACUGCUCCCAGUUUUCAACCAUGCUUUCAAUGCAGCGUUUCUCUUACCUGAAAUGUCCCCCAGGCACCCUUUGCGAUUCCUACUUGUUUUGCAGAAAGCCUUCCCCCACCUCUCUCGUCCCCACUGACAUUCUGACUAGUUACGUAGUUAUGAGACCAGCAACAUUUAAUUUAUGACUUCUGCAUGUCCCUGAAUUGUGAUUACAUUCUUGUAAUGUUGUUUUUAACCUUCUACAUGCACUUCGAUUGUGUUGACUGGACUGGACAUUAGGCUGUGAUGUCAGAGACAAGCCUUUUUUACUGGAGUCUCUCAGAGUCUCUGGUGGCAGCUGGCACAAAAGAGGGACACGGCUGCCUGACUUACUAGAUAGGCUGACUGUAAGCUCUCAAAGGCAGGACAGGUGACUUCAGUAUUUGUAAGGUAUGUGCCAUUAGAACUUGGAUAUACCUGGACUCAUAAGCACUGUCUGCUACUUGCUGAUUUAAUAACAACAGCUCAGUAAAUAUUUGUUGAAUGAAGUCAACAUUCUUGUGAGCUGAAAACAAGAUUCAGUACAGGAAACCUUGCCUUAUGAAAAGAUUACCUUCAAACUAGAAAAGUAAGCAGAACCUCACUUCAUUACUGUGUUCGUUUUCCACCUACGCAUAUUCCCAAAGUCCCCCAAAUGAGAAGGCAACAGAAAGCCCAAAACUGAAGUAGAAAUGACUGCAUGGGCGAUCUUUGGGCAGCAGACAAAGUAAGGGAGAUUUAAUGAUUCAAGCCAACAGGCAGGGAAAUAGGAUUCAUCCCAAAUCAGUUCACUGUUGCAUUUCCGCAUAGAUAAGUGAUAAAUCUUAAAGCAGGAAGGUACUGCACUGUUUCCAAUGCAAAGACCUUUGUAGGAUAGACGUUUCUCAAGCUUUAAUAUGUUUGCUUCCUGAUUAAACUAUGGGGUUGUAUACUGGAACAAUCAUGCUUAUGAACACAAAUUGCGGUGUUCCUUCCCAUGCAAUCUUGACACACACUGAUAAGUGUUGUAAGGCAUUUGUACAACAAAAAAUAGUUCAGUACCACUGAUACCCCAGGAAUGGAAAUUCUUAACUAUGAGAAAUAGUUAUUCUGGGACAGGUGGAAGGAAAUGGCACCAUCUCAGGAAUGCAAAGAUGGUUUGACAUAAAAAAUCUAGUCAUUUAAUAUACCACACUUCUAGUUUUUAUAAGAGACAAAAGUUAAACAUCUCAACAGAUGUAGGAAAUAUUUCUAACAUUCACUCAAAAUUUUAAUAAAACAACAAAUCUGUAACCAAAGGGAGCUUCCUUAACCUAAUAAAAGCUAGAGCAAAUAUCACAGACUUUAGAAGCAUUCUCAGUAACAUCAGGAAUAAUUCAAGAAAUCUGCUAUUAGUGCUUUGAUCCAACAUUAUUUUUUGCAGCCUUAGCCAAUGGGGAAAAGAAAGAAAUGAAGUAUACCAAUUGGAAAAGAGAAGCCCAAACUAUUGUUAUUUGCAAAGAUAUGAUAGUGUACAUGGAAAACCUGAAAAAAUUUUCAGACAAACUAUUAAAAUUAAUAAGAUAGGUCAACAAUGUUUUUGGAUGUAUAAUCAACAUAUAAAAAUCAAUAGCUUUGCUGUAUACCAAUAAUAACAACAUUUGAAAAAAUGUAAUAGAAUCAGGGACGUUAUUGACAAUUCUAUUGUUUAUAAGUUAGCAACUUAAAAACAGUAAAAAUGCUAUAAUAACAAGGGUUUCUUGAGUAAAGGUUAUGGUCCAAGGUUACAAAAUCUCAUACCCUGCUUGUGAAUUUGGGGAAAAUAGCAGCAGCAAUUCCAUUUAUAUCAGCUUUGCAUUUUUAUCAGUUUACUGAGUGUGAUAUCGUGAUAUAACAAGAAUAUACUGAGUGAAUGAAGAGUGACUGCUAAUAGGUAUGAGCUUUCUUUUUGCAGUAAUAAAAAUGUCCUAAAAUUGAUUGUGGUGAUGGUUGCACAACUGUAAAAAUACUAAAAAACCACUGAACCGUAUACCUUACGAGGGUAAAAUGUAUGGUAUGUGAAUUAUAUCUCAAUAAAGCUGUCAUUAAAAAAACAACAAAAAGAACCAAAACAGAAUUUUUCUAGCAAACACAUCUUAGAAUUGACUGUAAAAUGUCACCUGCUUAAUAAACUAUUCCU
This is a long non-coding RNA of Hipposideros armiger (great roundleaf bat), 5082 nucleotides long. RefSeq lists it as uncharacterized. The transcript is spliced from 4 exons. The record is from RefSeq and is a predicted model, not a curated record. NCBI's taxonomy places the organism in Eukaryota, Metazoa, Chordata, Mammalia, Chiroptera, Hipposideridae.